CCCUUAGAUGUCCUGGGCCGCACGCGCGCUACACUGAUGCAUGCAACGAGUUUAUAACCUUGGCCUGAAAGGUCUGGGUAAUCUUUUGAACGUGCAUCGUGAUAGAGAUAGAUUAUUGCAAUUGUUAAUCUUGAACGAGGAAUUCCUAGUAAACGCGAGUCAUCAGCUCGCAUUGAUUACGUCCCUGCCCUUUGUACACACCGCCCGUCGCACCUACCGAUUGAAUGGUUCGGUGAAGAUCUCGGACUUCGAUAUUUAUUCUUUAUUGAGUUUAUAUUGUGGGAAGUUAUCUAAACCUCAUCAUUUAGAGGAAGGUGAAGUCGUAACA
Molecule: ribosomal RNA, 328 nt
Filed under: uncultured eukaryote
Lineage: Eukaryota
Description: partial 18S ribosomal RNA
Rfam family: Eukaryotic small subunit ribosomal RNA
Source: RNAcentral